Molecule: ribosomal RNA, 253 nt
Filed under: uncultured bacterium
Lineage: Bacteria
Description: partial 16S ribosomal RNA
Rfam family: Bacterial small subunit ribosomal RNA
Source: RNAcentral
UCCUCCUUGUGCCCUCUUUCCUCGGCCUUACUGGGCGUAAAGCGUGCGCCUGCGGUUCGGAAAGAAAGAUGUGAAAUCCCAGAGCUUAACUUUGGAACUGCAUUUUUAACUACCGAGCUAGAGUGUGUCAGAGGGAGGUGGAAUUCCGCGUGUAGCAGUGAAAUGCGUAGAUAUGCGGAGGAACACCGAUGGCGAAGGCAGCCUCCUGGGAUAACACUGACGCUCAUGCACGAAAGCGUGGGGAGCAAACAGG